Molecule: ribosomal RNA, 961 nt
Filed under: Sarcophaga (Hyperacanthisca) sp. EB-2016
Lineage: Eukaryota; Metazoa; Arthropoda; Insecta; Diptera; Sarcophagidae
Description: eukaryotic LSU rRNA
Rfam family: Eukaryotic large subunit ribosomal RNA
Source: RNAcentral
GUCACUUUGUCUUUAUGGCAAAUGUGAGAUGCAGUGUAUGGAAUGUCAAAUUUCUAGUAUGAGAAAUUAACUAUUUAAGUCCUUCUUAAAUGAGGCCAUUUACCCAUAGAGGGUGCCAGGCCCGUAUAAAGUUAAUGAUUACUAGAUGGCAUUUCCAAAGAGUCGUGUUGCUUGAUAGUGCAGCACUAAGUUGGUGGUAAACUCCAUCUAAAACUAAAUAUAACCAUGAGACCGAUAGUAAACAAGUACCGUGAGGGAAAGUUGAAAAGAACUCUGAAUAGAGAGUUAAAUAGUACGUGAAACUGCUUAGAGGUUAAGCCCGAUGAACCUGAAUAUCCAUUAUAGAAAAUUCAUCAUUAUGAUUUUAAUAUUAAUAAUAUUAUAAUAAUGGUGUGCAUUUUUUCUAUAACGGACAUUGUAAUCUAUUAACAUAAAUAUAUUUAUCAUAAGAUCAAUGAUGCGUAAGUUUAUUCAAAUUAUUUUGCUUGCAAUUUAACAUAGAAUAAAUGCUCUUGAUUUGAUAAAGUGUUGAUAGAUUUAUUGUAUAUAGUGCUUAAAUAUUUAUAUUUUAUAAUAGCAUAUUAAUCAUUGAUUUUUAUGUUUAUUAUAUGCACUUAUAUGAUUAACAAUGCGAAAGAUUCAGGAUACCUUCGGGACCCGUCUUGAAACACGGACCAAGGAGUCUAACAUAUUUGCAAGUUAUUGGGUAUCCAAAACCUAAUAGCGAAAUUAACAUAACUUAAUGGGAUUAGUUUUUAGAUUAUUUAUAGUCUAUUAAUUCAAUCCCGGGGCGUUCUAUAUAGUUAUGUAUAAUAAUAUUUAUAUUAUUUAUACCUCUAACUAGAGCGUACCUUGAGCAUAUAUGCUGUGACCCGAAAGAUGGUGAACUAUACUUGAUCAGGUUGAAGUCAGGGGAAACCCUGAUGGAAGACCGAAACAGUUCUGACGUGCAAAUCGAUUG